Molecule: long non-coding RNA, 1370 nt
Filed under: Xyrichtys novacula (pearly razorfish)
Lineage: Eukaryota; Metazoa; Chordata; Actinopteri; Labriformes; Labridae
Source: RNAcentral
GUCAGUGCAAAACGAAAACGCUUGGAGUGGGAGAAAGUUUGCGAGAGGGUGAACGCGGUGGGUUCCGAGACACGCACCCCCGCGGAGAUAAAAAAAAAAAAGUGGUCGGACCUCAAGGUGGAGGUCAAGCGGCGUACAGCUGCCCUCCGGAGGAGUACCGGCCAGACAGGUGGGGUUCCGGGGGAGGAGACCCUCACGCUGUUAGAGCAGCGGGUGGUGGCGAUUAUUAUUAUAGGGUAAGUGGCGUGUCACACAAAUGUCCACAUGCUUUGCCAUCCCACUGAGCAAAAGACGUAUAUUAGACGUCUAGUCUAAGUUUAUACUUCAUUUCAACGUCGGGAUUCAGUCUAUUUUUAGACGUGAUUUAUACUUCGCCCUUAACUUCAUUUUUCGAUAACUUUUUAUGCAAUAAACAAUUGUAAUGUGCAUAACUGACCUCUAAAUACUGGAUUACAUUACCUAUGAUACCGUGGAGAGAGAUGUAAACGCAACAGAUACACAAAAGUAGGAAUGGAAAUGAACCAAUAUUUUUAUUGUGUCACAGAAAUCAAUGUGUCGGCCGUGUCGCCAGCUUGCGGAACCCGGGCCCGCGGCAGCCCGUCCGCCGGCUCGGAGUCGUCGGCCAGGACCAGCGGCAUUCGGGCCACCCCGGCCCCCGCACCAGCACUAGCGCGCCGACAAGCGGUGGAGCGUCCACCAGCCGCGGCGCUUCAGCUGGACCACCCGGACGCAGUGGAAGGGUCCUCAUGGAGGCGGUCCUGCAAUCACAGGAAGAAAUCAUCAGGGGGAUCGCGGGGAUCAACGAGCGGCUGGACCGGCUCGUAAAUGUCCUCGAGCGUCUGGUGGCGAAAAUAAAUUAAUUUGGCUCAUUGAACUGUGUAUUCACUUCUUACCCAUUCACACUGUGGCGAUGAGAUUCUCCCGCGUGAGGACUGCGGCCCGGCAGGGAUCAGCUCGCAUCCCUCCGUCUGCUGCUGGUUCGUCAUGUGGGGCGACGUGCUGCUCGGCCACGGGGAUGUGGUGCACGCUUGUCACAUAGUGAUUCACCAAACACCGCCACACAGCGUCGCCAAAGUGCCGUCAACGCAGGUAUCGGCUCAACGCCAACUUCUACACCACCUCCUCACUUUGCGUUGAUUAGCGCUGGAUCCGACGCUCGUUUCGAGAUGAUAAAUCUGGACGUGUGCGCCGAUCUUGGCGGACGCAAGGUUUUCUGGCGCCGCCAGCGUUGAUACAUGAGGCCCCUGGUACCUACAGCAGCAAAAGCAAAUAAAAUAGAUAGAUAGAUAGACUUUGUUCAUCCCAAACUGGGAAAUUCUUUAAUUAACGAUAGACUGACUUUACAGACCUAGUUCUGCUCCUUCUGAGAC